RNAcentral lists this ribosomal RNA (549 nucleotides) under Salmonella enterica subsp. arizonae. RNAcentral's name for it is "partial 23S ribosomal RNA". It matches the Rfam family "Bacterial large subunit ribosomal RNA", at positions 640 to 1190 of the family's 2925-position model. The record is from RNAcentral. Lineage: Bacteria; Pseudomonadati; Pseudomonadota; Gammaproteobacteria; Enterobacterales; Enterobacteriaceae.
GCAAGGUUAACCGUAUAGGGGAGCCGCAGGGAAACCGAGUCUUAACCGGGCGUUAAGUUGCAGGGUAUAGACCCGAAACCCGGUGAUCUAGCCAUGGGCAGGUUGAAGGUUGGGUAACACUAACUGGAGGACCGAACCGACUAAUGUUGAAAAAUUAGCGGAUGACCUGUGGCUGGGGGUGAAAGGCCAAUCAAACCGGGAGAUAGCUGGUUCUCCCCGAAAGCUAUUUAGGUAGCGCCUCGUGAAUUCAUCUCCGGGGGUAGAGCACUGUUUCGGCCAGGGGGCCAUCCCGGCUUACCAACCCGAUGCAAACUGCGAAUACCGGAGAAUGUUAUCACGGGAGACACACGGCGGGUGCUAACGUCCGUCGUGAAGAGGGAAACAACCCAGACCGCCAGCUAAGGUCCCAAAGUCAUGGUUAAGUGGGAAACGAUGUGGGAAGGCCCAGACAGCCAGGAUGUUGGCUUAGAAGCAGCCAUCAUUUAAAGAAAGCGUAAUAGCUCACUGGUCGAGUCGGCCUGCGCGGAAGAUGUAACGGGGCUAAACCAU